This is a non-coding RNA of Labrus bergylta (ballan wrasse), 585 nucleotides long. NCBI's taxonomy places the organism in Eukaryota, Metazoa, Chordata, Actinopteri, Labriformes, Labridae. The record is from RefSeq and is a predicted model, not a curated record.
UUAAUCUGCACACAGCAGGCAGCAACAGAAAUGAGCUGCACCUGAAGGGAGGAAAGAGAUGAUCUCCUCUUUUCAUUUCUUCACCAGAUUGAAGGAGUGAAAACUACAAGACACAAGAAGUUUAGUCAUUACCAAAGUUCUGUAUAAAUUCAAACAAUAAACUAAUACAAGUUGUUGCUAAUGCUAAGCUACAUGCUAAUGCUAAACCUUAACUUCAGUACAGGAACUUACAUUUCUGUUGCUGCGUGCUGUGUGCAGAUUAGAGAAAGAACCCUGAACUUCCUGUUUCCUUUAUAACUUCCUGUUCCCUGAAUUAACAGAGGAGAGGUGUUCUUGGUGUUCACAUAUCAUAUAAACAGUGUCUGUAGUGACUUCACUGAUGCUCCAUAUUUUACUUGAGCUCCUUUUAACUUUGAACCAUAUUAUCCUGAUAUAUGAUUGACCAUAUGUAUAUAUAAUAAAUCAAAUCUUAUGUCAUGGUGGGAACAAUGAACCAUUAAUGAAUUUAGGUUAGUACACUAUAUUUAGUUCAUUAAGUCAUCCAACACUUUUAAAUAAAGGCUCUGACAUGUUCACAAAACUUCA